RNAcentral lists this ribosomal RNA (253 nucleotides) under uncultured bacterium. RNAcentral's name for it is "partial 16S ribosomal RNA". It matches the Rfam family "Bacterial small subunit ribosomal RNA", at positions 524 to 776 of the family's 1533-position model. The record is from RNAcentral.
UACGUAGGGGGCCAGCGUUGUCCGGAAUCAUUGGGCGUAAAGAGCGUGUAGGCGGCUCGGUAAGUCCGCUGUAAAAGUCAAAGGCUCAACCUUUGAAUGUCAGUGGAUACUGCCGGGCUAGAGUCCGGAAGAGGCGAGUGGAACUCCUGGUGUAGCGGUGGAAUGCGCAGAUAUCAGGAGGAACACCGGUGGCGAAGGCGGGUCUCUGGGCCGAUACUGACGCUGAGGAGCGAAAGCGUGGGGAGCGAACAGG